CAAUAGCGUAUAUUAAUGUUGUUGCAGUUAAAAAGCUCGUAGUCGGAUUUCAAUGCGGGUUGACCGGUCUGCCGAUUGGUAUGCACUGGCCGAGCCGUAUUUCCUCCCGGAGACCUCGUCUACUCUUAACUGAGGCGGACGGGGGAAACGGGAUUUUUACUUUGAGGAAAUCAGAGUGUUCAAAGCAGGCUUUUGUAUGUAUGUGUUAGCAUGGGAUAAUAAAAUAGGACUUGGGUGCUAUUUUGUUGGUUUCGAACACCUAAGUAAUGAUUAAUAGGGAUAGUCAGGGGCACUCGUAUUCCACCGAGAGAGGUGAAAUUCUUAGACCAGUGGAAGACGAACUUCUGCGAAAGCAUUUGCCAGGGAUGUUUUCACUGAUCAAGAACGAAAGUUAGGGGAUCGAAGACGAUUAGAUACCAU
RNAcentral lists this ribosomal RNA (420 nucleotides) under uncultured eukaryote. RNAcentral describes it as "SSU rRNA". It matches the Rfam family "Eukaryotic small subunit ribosomal RNA", at positions 592 to 1018 of the family's 1831-position model. The record is from RNAcentral.